RNAcentral lists this ribosomal RNA (497 nucleotides) under uncultured Sphingobacteriales bacterium. Its description in RNAcentral is "bacterial SSU rRNA". It matches the Rfam family "Bacterial small subunit ribosomal RNA", at positions 903 to 1382 of the family's 1533-position model. Lineage: Bacteria; Pseudomonadati; Bacteroidota; Sphingobacteriia; Sphingobacteriales. The record is from RNAcentral.
CCAGCCCGCUCAGAACUUAAAGGAAUUGGACGGGGCCCGGCACAAGCGGAGGAGCAUGUGGUUUAAUUCGAUGAUACGCGAGGAACCUUACCUGGGCUCGAACGUAAGAUGACUGUAGGUGAAAGCUUACAUCUCUUCGGAGCAUUUUACGAGGUGCUGCAUGGUUGUCGUCAGCUCGUGCCGUGAGGUGUCGGGUUAAGUCCCAUAACGAGCGCAACCCUACCUUUAGUUGCCAUCAGGUAAUGCUGGGGACUCUAAAGGAACUGCCUACGCAAGUAGUGAGGAAGGCGGGGAUGACGUCAAAUCAGCACGGCCCUUACGUCCAGGGCUACACACGUGCUACAAUGGCCGAUACAGAGGGCAGCUACCUGGUGACAGGAUGCAAAUCUCCAAAGUCGGUCUCAGUUCGGAUCGGAGUCUGCAACCCGACUCCGUGAAGCUGGAAUCGCUAGUAAUCGCGCAUCAGCCAUGGCGCGGUGAAUACGUUCCCGGGCCUU